This 528-nucleotide ribosomal RNA is filed under the name uncultured bacterium. RNAcentral's name for it is "bacterial SSU rRNA". It matches the Rfam family "Bacterial small subunit ribosomal RNA", at positions 35 to 539 of the family's 1533-position model. The record is from RNAcentral.
AGUGAACGCUGGCGGCAGGCCUAACACAUGCAAGUCGAGCGGCAGCGCGUCCGACCACCCUCGGGUGGUCGGAUGGCGGCGAGCGGCGGACGGGUGAGGAAUGCAUCGGAAUCUGCCUCGUUGUGGGGGAUAACGUAGGGAAACUUACGCUAAUACCGCAUACGACCUACGGGUGAAAGUGGGGGACCUUCGGGCCUCACGCGAUGAGAUGAGCCGAUGCCGGAUUAGCUAGUUGGCGGGGUAAAGGCCCACCAAGGCGACGAUCCGUAGCUGGUCUGAGAGGAUGAUCAGCCACACUGGAACUGAGACACGGUCCAGACUCCUACGGGAGGCAGCAGUGGGGAAUAUUGGACAAUGGGGGCAACCCUGAUCCAGCCAUGCCGCGUGUGUGAAGAAGGCCUGGUUGUAAGCACUUUGUUGGGUAGAACGGACCGGUAAGUACCUCGUUGAUGACGGUACCGAAACGAAGUAAAGCGAACCGGCCGUAAACCGUUCGUUCGCCGAGCCAGGCCGCCGGGUAAACGAACC